This 627-nucleotide long non-coding RNA is filed under the name Helianthus annuus (common sunflower). RNAcentral describes it as "hypothetical non coding rna". The record is from RNAcentral. Lineage: Eukaryota; Viridiplantae; Streptophyta; Magnoliopsida; Asterales; Asteraceae.
UAAUCAUUUCUUAUUUUAAAAAACAAAACAUUGUUAACAAACAGACAAUUUGAUUUCACAAAUAAACAUCAUCACAAUAUACAUACAUCCAUAUGUAUGUAUAUUCAGUUGGUACCAUUUGUGGAUCUUAAUAAGGUUUCGUGUCAAUAUAGUUUCCUGGAGGAUAAUAAUUGCAAAUUAUAAAAAUCCCAUCAUUUUUCACGCAGUGAGACAAGGCACACCCAACGGUGGUCGAGUUUUUCCAAAUCACUUGAGUAUAAUGCCCACACGCCUUUCCAGGUCCGCAUGUGUUCGUCUCGUAAUCGUAAUUGUCCUUUUCGCUACACCACAUGUUUAUAGCAUCUAAAAUGGUCAUCUUGCCAGCCCCUGUAGCAAUAUUCUCGCCAUAUAUUUGUGUAUCUCUUUACGAACCUUAUUAUGGGCAUCCAAAAUAGCUUGCUGUGAGGUGGUGCCUGUCGAAGGAGCCGCGCUCAAUACCCUUCUGAUACCACUAUGCGCGUUAAUACUGUAGUCUUCUGGUUGGUUGCAUGACUGUUCAUCCUCGUGAGAGAAAUGUAGGAUUGCCAUGCAUAAAGCAAGAACCAGCGCAAUUUUACGCGAAAAUCCCAUGGUGCUAGCUAUUUGAUU